AAAAACACACUUACAGCUGGCUUGAGCAACUGGAAACAAGAUGCAGGACCCCAACGUAGACAUUGAGUGGAAUGACAUCUUACACAAAAAGGGUAUCUUACCCCCCAAGGAAAGUCUGAAAGAACUGGAAGAGGAGUCAGAUGAGGAGCAGCACAUCCUCCAGCAGUCAGUGGUGAAACAUAUGAAGAUAUGACUUUGGAAGAGCUGGAGGAUCAUGAAGAUGAGUUUAAUGAGGAGGAUGAACGUGCUAUUGAAAUGUACAGAUGGCAGAGACUGGCUGAGUGGAAAGCAACUAAACUGAAGAAUAAAUUUGGAGAAGUUUUAGAGAUCUCAGGGAAGGAUUAUGUUCAAGAAGUUACCAAAUCUGGUGAGGGCUUGUGGGUCGUCUUGCACCUUUACAAACAAGGAAUUCCCCUCUGUGCCCUGAUAAAUCAGCACCUCAGUGGACUUGCCAGGAAGUUUCCUGAUGUCAAAUUUAUCAAAGCCAUUUCAAUAACCUGCAUACCCAAUUAUCCGGAUAGGAAUCUGCCCACCAUAUUUGUUUACCUGGAAGGAGAUAUCAAGGCUCAGUUUAUUGGUCCUCUGGUGUUUGGCGGCAUGAACCUGACAAGAGAUGAAUUGGAAUGGAAACUGUCUGAAUCUGGCGCAAUUAUGACGGACCUGGAGGAAAACCCUAAGAAGCCGAUUGAAGACGUGUUGCAGUCCUCAGUGCGGUGCUCUGUCCCCGUGAGGAGGGGCAGCGGUUCCGAGGGUGACUGAGGCUACAGCUGCUAUCGCAUGCCGAACUUUCUUGUGACAAAUUGUCUGGAUUUUUUAAAAAAGGAAAAAGCAAGAAUGAAUCCUUCUGUUUUUUAGUUUUGUAUAAAUUAUGUUUCAAAUCUUUACAUUUUAGAAAUAAUCAUUGCUGGAAAUUCUGUUAAAUAUUUUGGAGCUCUUUUUUUAAAAUUAUAGUAUUUCUUCUAAAAAAAUUAAAACCAGCC
RNA transcript from Cercocebus atys (sooty mangabey), 980 nucleotides. It is a transcript of the gene named phosducin-like protein 3 pseudogene, with no coding region annotated. The transcript has a single exon. The record is from RefSeq and is a predicted model, not a curated record. Lineage: Eukaryota; Metazoa; Chordata; Mammalia; Primates; Cercopithecidae.